GGAAUCUGAGUAGAUAAGCAUGUACGGGAGGGAUCCAUGGGGAGGUCCGCUGGAAAUAAACGCAGCGGAUUCGGCCACAGACGACGACCGGAGCAGGAACCUUCAGGACUUCGACAGAGCGGCACUUUCACGGCCACUGGACGAGACACAGCAGAGCUGGCUGUUGGGACCUGGAGAGCAGAAGAAGAAAAAGUAUGUGGAUCUGGGUUGCAUCAUUGUCAGCCGUAAGAUCUUCGUCUGGACGGUCGGAUCUAUUCUGGUGGCUGGCUUCCUCGCCGGUUUCAUUACCCUCAUCGUCAAGACCGUGCCGCGUCAUCACCACCCUCACGCUCCUCCUGAUAACUACACCCUC
This 352-nucleotide long non-coding RNA is filed under the name Vitis vinifera (wine grape). RNAcentral describes it as "long non-coding RNA (VVIN_LNC003977)". Lineage: Eukaryota; Viridiplantae; Streptophyta; Magnoliopsida; Vitales; Vitaceae. The record is from RNAcentral.